GACGAACGCUGGCGGCGUGCUUAACACAUGCAAGUCGAACGGAAAGGCCCUGCUUGCAGGGUACUCGAGUGGCGAACGGGAGAGUAACACGUGGGUGAUCUGCCCUGCACUUCGGGAUAAGCCUGGGAAACUGGGUCUAAUACCGGAUAGGAGCCAUUUUUAGUGUGAUGGUUGGAAAGUUUUUUCGGUGUAGGAUGAGCUCGCGGCCUAUCAGCUUGUUGGUGGGGUAAUGGCCUACCAAGGCGGCGACGGGUAGCCGGCCUGAGAGGGUGGACGGCCACAUUGGGACUGAGAUACGGCCCAGACUCCUACGGGAGGCAGCAGUGGGGAAUAUUGCACAAUGGGCGCAAGCCUGAUGCAGCGACGCCGCGGGGGGGAUGACGGCCUUCGGGUUGUAAACUCCUUUCGCUAGGGACGAAGCUUUUUGUGACGGUACCUAGAUAAGAAGCACCGGCUAACUACGUG
Molecule: ribosomal RNA, 465 nt
Filed under: uncultured bacterium
Lineage: Bacteria
Description: partial 16S ribosomal RNA
Rfam family: Bacterial small subunit ribosomal RNA
Source: RNAcentral